GAUGAACGCUGGCGGCGUGCUUAACACAUGCAAGUCGAACGAAGCACUUUAUUUGAUUUCCUUCGGGACUGAUUAUUUUGUGACUGAGUGGCGGACGGGUGAGUAACGCGUGGGUAACCUGCCUUGUACAGGGGGAUAACAGUUGGAAACGGCUGCUAAUACCGCAUAAGCGCACGGCAUCGCAUGAUGCAGUGUGAAAAACUCCGGUGGUAUAAGAUGGACCCGCGUUGGAUUAGCUAGUUGGUGAGGUAACGGCCCACCAAGGCGACGAUCCAUAGCCGACCUGAGAGGGUGACCGGCCACAUUGGGACUGAGACACGGCCCAAACUCCUACGGGAGGCAGCAGUGGGGAAUAUUGAACAAUGGGCGAAAGCCUGAUGCAGCGACGCCGCGUGAGCGAAGAAGUAUUUCGGUAUGUAAAGCUCUAUCAGCAGGGAAGAUAAUGACGGUACCUGACUAAGAAGCACCGGCUAAAUACGUG
Molecule: ribosomal RNA, 481 nt
Filed under: uncultured bacterium
Lineage: Bacteria
Description: partial 16S ribosomal RNA
Rfam family: Bacterial small subunit ribosomal RNA
Source: RNAcentral